RNAcentral lists this ribosomal RNA (730 nucleotides) under uncultured Ascomycota. RNAcentral describes it as "SSU rRNA". It matches the Rfam family "Eukaryotic small subunit ribosomal RNA", at positions 407 to 1142 of the family's 1831-position model. The record is from RNAcentral. Lineage: Eukaryota; Fungi; Ascomycota.
CUACCACAUCCAAGGAAGGCAGCAGGCGCGCAAAUUACCCAAUCCCGACACGGGGAGGUAGUGACAAUAAAUACUGAUACAGGGCUCUUUUGGGUCUUGUAAUUGGAAUGAGUACAAUUUAAAUCCCUUAACGAGGAACAAUUGGAGGGCAAGUCUGGUGCCAGCAGCCGCGGUAAUUCCAGCUCCAAUAGCGUAUAUUAAAGUUGUUGCAGUUAAAAAGCUCGUAGUUGAACCUUGGGCCUGGCUGGCCGGUCCGCCUCACCGCGUGCACUGGUCCGGCCGGGUCUUUCCUUCUGGGGAGCCGCAUGCCCUUCACUGGGUGUGUCGGGGAACCAGGACUUUUACUUUGAAAAAAUUAGAGUGUUCAAAGCAGGCCUAUGCUCGAAUACAUUAGCAUGGAAUAAUAGAAUAGGACGUGUGGUUCUAUUUUGUUGGUUUCUAGGACCGCCGUAAUGAUUAAUAGGGAUAGUCGGGGGCAUCAGUAUUCAAUUGUCAGAGGUGAAAUUCUUGGAUUUAUUGAAGACUAACUACUGCGAAAGCAUUUGCCAAGGAUGUUUUCAUUAAUCAGUGAACGAAAGUUAGGGGAUCGAAGACGAUCAGAUACCGUCGUAGUCUUAACCAUAAACUAUGCCGACUAGGGAUCGGGCGAUGUUAUCUUUUUGACUCGCUCGGCACCUUACGAGAAAUCAAAGUCUUUGGGUCUGGGGGGAGUAUGGUCGCAAGGCUGAAA